RNAcentral lists this long non-coding RNA (2248 nucleotides) under Phasianus colchicus (ring-necked pheasant). RNAcentral describes it as "lncRNA (ENSPCLG00000017399.1)". Lineage: Eukaryota; Metazoa; Chordata; Aves; Galliformes; Phasianidae. The record is from RNAcentral.
AUGGGUGCCCUGUUGGGUGUCCUUUGUGUCACCCACGGGUGCCCUGCUGGUGCCCCAUUGUCACCCACGGGUGCCACGUCGGAUGUCCCCAGUGUCACCUUUGGGUGCCCCGUUGGGUGUCCCCAUUGGGUGUCACCCAUGGGUGUCGUGGUGGGUGUCCCCUGUGUCACCCUUGGGUGUCCCCUGUGUCAGCCAUGGCUGCCCUGCUGGGUGUCACCUUUGGGUGCUCUGCUGUGUGUCCCCAUUGGCUGUCACUCGUGUGUGCCAUGUUGGGUGUCACCCAUGGGUGCCCCAUUGGGUGUCUCCAUUGUCACCUUUGGGUGUCCUUUGCGUCGCCCUUCGGUGUCCCCUGUGUCACCCAUGGCUGCUUUGCUGUUAUCCCCAUUGGGUGUCACCCAUGGGUGCCAUGUUGGGUGUCCCCUGCGUCACCUUUGGGUGCCCCAUUCGGUGUCCCCUCUGUCACCCUUGGGUGCCCCCAUUGUCAUACAUGAGUGCCUGUUGGGUGUCCUUUGUGUCACCCACGGGUGCCCUGCUGGGUGUCCCGUGUGUCACCCUAGGGUGUCCCCUGUGUCACCCUUGGGUGCCCCCAUUGUCCCCACAGAUGUCCAGCUCCCCGCUGUCGAAGAAGCGCCGCGUGUCCGGGUCACCUCAGCGCCUCAGUGCCACCAACGUCCCCAGCACCGCCAGCCCCGCCAACGUGAGUGUCACCCGUUGUCACCUGUUGUCACCCAUUGUCCCCAUUGUCACCCCUUGUCCUCCCCAUUGUCACCCAGUACCCCUCCGUGUCACCCACUGUCACCCAUUGUCCUUUCAUUGUCACCCAGUGUCACCCAUUGUCCCCUUAGUGUCACCCGUUGUCCCCUUUGUCACCCCUUGUCCUCCCCAUUGUCACCCAGUGUCCCUCCGUGUCACCCACUGUCACCCAUUGUCCCCUUAGUGUCACCCAUUGUCACCCGUUGUCCCCCCGUUGUCACCCACUGUCACCCAGCGUCCCCUCAGUGUCACCCGUUGUCCCUUCAUUGUCACCUGUUGUCACCCAUUGUCACCCAUUGUCACCCCACUGUCACCCAUGGGUGUCCCCUGGGUUGGGAUUUUGGGGUUCCUUGGAGCUCUCUGUCCCCUCUUUGUCACCCGUUGUGUCCCCAAAUGUCCCCAAACGGCCCCAAAUGCCCCCAGAGUGGCCCCAAAUGGCCCCAUAAUGUCCCCAAUGUCCCCAUUGACCCUAUAAUGUCCCCAUUGACCCCAUAGCGUCCCCAAUGUCCCUAUUGACCCCAUAAUAUUCCCGUUGACCCCAUUGACCCCAUGAUCUGUCCGCUGACCCCAUCAUGUCCCCACUGACCCCAUCAUGUCCCCAUUGACCCCAUAACGUCCCUGCUGACCCCAUAAUAUCCCCAAUAUCCCAUUUGACCCUAUAAGGUCCCCGCUGACCCUAUAAUGUCCCCAUUGAUCCCAUAAUGUCGCCAAUAUCCCAUUUGACCCUAUAAAGUCCCCAUUGACCCUACUGACCCCAUAAUGUCCCCACUGACCCCGUAACGACCCCACUGACCCCAUAAUGUCCCCACUGACCCCAUUGACCCCAUAAUGUCCCGAUAAUGUCCCCAUUGACCCCAUAAAGUCCCCACUGACCCCAUAAUGACCCCAUUGACCCUAUAAAGUCCCCAUAAUGUCCCUAUUGACCCCAUAAAGUUCUCACUGACCCCAUAAUGUCCCCAAUAUCCCAUUUGUCCCUAUGAAGUCCCCAUUGACCCCAUAACGUUCCCAUUGAUCCUAUAAAGUCCCCGCUGACCCCAUAAUGUCCCCAUUGACCCCAUUGACCCCAUAAUAUCCCCAUAAAGUCCCCGCUAACCCUAUAACAUCCCCAUUGACCCCAUAAGGUCCUCAUUGAUCCCAUCAGGUCCCCACUGACCCCAUAAGGUCCUCAUAAUGUCCCCGCUGACCCCAUUGAUCCCAUAAUGUCCUCGCUGACCCCAUAAUGUCCUCGCUGACCCCAUAAUGACCCCAUUGACCCUAUAAUGUUCCCGUAACGUCCCCAUUGACCCCGUAAUGUCCACAUUGACCCCAUAAUGUCCCCACUGACCCCAUAAUGUCCCUCCUGACCCUAUAAGGUCCUCAUUGACCUCACAAUGUCCUCAUAAUGUCCCGGCUGACCCCAUAAAGCCCCCACUGACCCCAUAUAUCCCCAUUGACCCCAUAAUGUCCCCAUAAAGUCCCCUCUGACCCCAUAAUGUCCCCGCUGACCCUAUAAUGA